Molecule: transfer RNA, 84 nt
Filed under: Flavobacteriaceae bacterium
Lineage: Bacteria; Pseudomonadati; Bacteroidota; Flavobacteriia; Flavobacteriales; Flavobacteriaceae
Description: tRNA-Leu
Rfam family: tRNA
About the family: Transfer RNA (tRNA) molecules are approximately 80 nucleotides in length.
Source: RNAcentral
GCGCGUGUGGUGAAAUUGGUAGACACGCCAUCUUGAGGGGGUGGUGACCUUAUGGUUGUGCUGGUUCGAAUCCAGUUACGCGCA